UUUGGGCAUGUGAUGAAUCCUGUUGUGAUUAAUGGGUAAUUUGCGUCUGAAAUUGUCAUUGAUGCUAUAUCACCUUGGAGACCUGAUGCCCAUU
Small nucleolar RNA from Ziziphus jujuba (common jujube), 94 nucleotides. The record is from RefSeq and is a predicted model, not a curated record. NCBI's taxonomy places the organism in Eukaryota, Viridiplantae, Streptophyta, Magnoliopsida, Rosales, Rhamnaceae.